RNAcentral lists this ribosomal RNA (421 nucleotides) under uncultured bacterium. RNAcentral's name for it is "bacterial SSU rRNA". It matches the Rfam family "Bacterial small subunit ribosomal RNA", at positions 357 to 770 of the family's 1533-position model. The record is from RNAcentral.
GGGAAUCUUCCACAAUGGGCGAAAGUCUGACCGAGCAACGCCGCGUGAAUGAAGAAGGCCUUCGGGUUGUAAAAUUCUGUUAUAAGGGAAGAAAGGUGAUAGGAGGAAAUGACUAUCAAUUGACGGUACCUUAUGAGAAAGCCACGGCUAACUACGUGCCAGCAGCCGCGGUAAUACGUAGGUGGCAAGCGUUAUCCGGAUUUAUUGGGCGUAAAGGGAACGCAGGCGGUCUUUUAAGUCUGAUGUGAAAGCCUUCGGCUUAACCGGAGUAGUGCAUUGGAAACUGGGAGACUUGAGUGCAGAAGAGGAGAGUGGAACUCCAUGUGUAGCGGUGAAAUGCGUAGAUAUAUGGAAGAACACCAGUGGCGAAGGCGGCUUCCUGGUCUGCAACUGACACUGAGGCGCGAAAGCGUGGGGAGCA